Non-coding RNA from Phrynosoma platyrhinos (Desert horned lizard), 72 nucleotides. The record is from the annotation of a GenBank genome assembly. Lineage: Eukaryota; Metazoa; Chordata; Lepidosauria; Squamata; Phrynosomatidae.
GCCAGUAUGGUGUAGUGGUUUGGAUGAUGGACUAGGACUCUGGAGAACAGGGUUUGAAUCCUGGCUCUGCCA